This is a non-coding RNA of Clostridium taeniosporum, 102 nucleotides long. NCBI's taxonomy places the organism in Bacteria, Bacillati, Bacillota, Clostridia, Eubacteriales, Clostridiaceae. The record is from Rfam.
UUCUUAUCAAGAGUGGUGGAGGGACUGGCCCGAUGAAACCCGGCAACCAAUAUAAUUUAUAUAUGGUGCUAAAUCCUGCAGUAAGUGACUGAUAGAUAAGGG